RNAcentral lists this unclassified non-coding RNA (3652 nucleotides) under Hevea brasiliensis (rubber tree). The record is from RNAcentral. Lineage: Eukaryota; Viridiplantae; Streptophyta; Magnoliopsida; Malpighiales; Euphorbiaceae.
ACAGAAAGUGCAGAGAAAGAGAUGAGAGAAAUGGAGUGUACGGAGGAAGACAAGCAACUAUUGCGAAAAAUCGCCAAAAUCCUCGACGAAGUCAAGGCCUCAAACGCCACACACAUCCGAAAGCUUAAAGAGAUCUCCACUCUCCGUUCAAAAUCUCCGUCUUCUCUCCAAUUUGCUGCUCUCUUCUUCAAAACCCUGAUCCCUCUUUUCCAAAUCCAGCGCCGCACCACCUCUACAGAACGCGUCGUGCGCUUCGUCUCAGUCUUCACCAGCGCUCGUGACUCCAACAACUCCUCCGCUCGCGAUGAGUUUCUUGGGGAGUUUUUGAAGUUUCUACUAGUUGCUGCCAUGUCUGCCAACAAGACCGCUAGAUUUAGAGCUUGUCAGAUUAUCUCUGACAUCAUAAUGCGUUUGCCGGAUGACGCAGAAGUAAGCGAUGAUCUAUGGGAUGAGAUAAUAGAGAGCAUGAAAGUACGGAUGGGGGACAAGGUUCCUGUUAUUCGUACUUUUGCAGUUAGAGCACUGUCCCGAUUUGCAAACGAUACAGAGAACAGUGACAUCCUUGAUUUAUUUCUCAGUGCUCUUCCGUUAGAGCAGAAUGCCGAGGUUCGUAAAACAAUUGUAUUAGCUUUGCCACCUUCAAAUGCAACCUCACUAGCUAUUGUCAAUUGCACUCUGGAUGUGAGUGAGUCAGUUCGCAAAGCUGCAUACUGCAUUCUAGCUGAUAAAUUUCCCCUUCAAAGUCUCAGCAUAAAACUCAGGACAGUAAUUCUUCAGAGAGGCCUGGCAGAUCGUUCUGUAGCUGUUUCAAAAGAAUGUUUAAAGUUAAUGAGAGAUGAGUGGCUUUCUAAGUGCUGCAACGAUGACCCUGUAGGACUUCUUAAGUACCUUGAUGUUGAAACCUAUGAAUCUGUUGGGGAAUCUGUUAUGGUUGCCUUGUUACAAGAUGGAUUAGUGAAGUUAUAUGAUGGUCAAAGUAUUCGUCAGUGUAUAUCAUCCACAAUUAGUGAAAUUGAAGACUACAAUGGAAGCAUCCAUCUAAUGGAGCCGGAAUUUGCACUUUAUUGGAAGACUGUGUGCAAGAACUUGCAGAAAGAAGCACAAGAAAAAGGCUCUGACGCUGCCACUACAAUGGGCACCGAGGCUGCAUUAUAUGCAGCCGAGGCUUCAGAUAAAAAUGACCUUCUAGAAAGGAUACUUCCUGCAACAGUUUCUGAUUACAUAGUUUUGGUCAAAGCUCAUAUAGAUGCUGGAUCAAAUUAUCAUUUUGCAUCUCGGCAGUUAUUAUUGCUUGGUGCAAUGCUUGAUUAUUCUGAUUCUACAAGCAGGAAAGUUGCUAGUUCAUUUGUGCAGGAAUUAUUGCACAAGCCACUUGAUCAUGAGGUGGAUGAUGAAGGAAACCAGGUUGUCAUAGGUGAUGGCAUAAACCUUGGUGGUGACAAAGAGUGGGCUAAUGCAGUAUCUAGUUUAGCUAGGAAAGUGCACGCUGCUACUGGUGAAUUUGAAGAAGUAGUUGUUGGGGUGAUUGAAGAGCUGGCUCGUCCUUGCAGGGAGAGAACAGCAGAUUUCAUGCAAUGGAUGCACUGCCUGGCUGUUACUGGUCUUCUCUUGGAAAACUCAAAAUCAUUACACCGGCUUCAAGGGAAAGCUAUUGAACCUUCUGAACUGCUGCAAUCUUUAUUGCUUCCUGGGGCAAAACAUGUUCACUUGGAUGUGCAGAGGGUUGCCAUCAGGUGUCUUGGCCUGUUUGGCUUGUUAGAGAAGAAGCCAAGUGGAGAAUUAGUGAAGCAGCUGAAGAUUUCUUUUGCUAGGGGUCUUGCUCCAAUUAGUACAAUGGCAUGUAAGGCAUUAAUUGAUCUUGCCAUGUGGCAUGGUCCCCAAGAAAUUGACAAGGCACUGGGGCAGGAGCAUGUAUCUGGAUUUCAGGAUAGUAAGAAGGCAUUUAAUGCUGUAAACAUUUCUGAUGCCGAUGAGAAUUUAAAUAUUGAAUUGCUUGAUCUGUUAUAUGCUGGUCUUGGCAGAAAUGAUUGGGUAAAAUCUGUAGAAUUUGAUGAAAAUGAGACAGUGCAAGCCAUUCUUGGUGAGGGUUUUGCUAAAAUUCUUCUUCUUAGUGAGAAGUAUCCAAGCAUACCAACCUCUUUACAUCCUCAAAUCUUAGCCAAGCUCAUUAUUUUGUAUUUCAGCAAUGAAACAAAAGACCUGCAGAGGUUAAAGCAGUGUUUGUCUGUGUUCUUUGAGCAUUAUCCUUCCCUCUCAGUUAAUCAUAAGAAAUGUUUGUCCAAGGCUUUUGUUCCAGUCAUGCGUUCAAUGUGGCCAGGCAUCUAUGGAAAUGCUGGAGGUGCUGCCUCUUUGGUCUCAAAUAUGCGUAAGCGGGCAGUCCAAGCAUCACGAUUUAUGCUGCAAAUGAUGCAGGCCCCCUUGUUUGCUAAACAAACUAAAAUUGAGGAUGAAAAUGGCAGUACAGAAUUACCAGAAACUAUAGACAGCACUUUGCAACCUUCAUUUGAUUGUGGAGAGGAGGGACUUGCAAUAUGCAUAGCUGCUGAGGUGGCAAGCUUUGCUAUUAAGAAGACACCUGCUGAGAAGUCAUACAUCUCAGCAUUAAGCAGGAUACUCGUCUUGCUUCGUUUUCGUUUAUCAGAACAAGAAGCAAUAAAAUUAAUGAGAAGGCUUUUGAAUCAUGUGGCUGAAUCCAUAUCAGCAGAGAAAGAUCUUGUAAAGGAAUUGAAGCUGAUGGUUGAACGCCUCAAGUCAUUAGAUAAACAACCAGAUGAGGAAUUGUCGCAAGAUCAAGCUAAUCAGAUUUUGGGGAGGUUGGAAUUGGACUUUAACUUGGAUGUUGAUAGCUGUGAUGCUGUGCCACAAACACCAGCCCCACUACAAUCAUCUAAACGAACCCGCACCAAAAGACGAGCAAGGUGUGACGAACAGACUUCUUCAGAUGAAGAAACUUCAUCGACCACUGUUGUUCAAACCUUUCAUGGCACUUCAGUUCGGUCACAGAGGGCAAGCAAGACUGCAGCCCUAAGCAAGAUGACUGGUAGCAGAGUUAGGAUAGCUGAAAAUGAUGACGAAGAAGAAGGUUCAGAGGUAAUAUCAGAGGAGGAUUCUGAUGACUCUGACCAGUAUACUGAAUGACCGAAAUUUACAGAUUCCUCUGCAGAUGCUGUGCUUUCUCAGUCACCAUAAUGUAUUGUUGUAAGCCUGUCUGUCUCCUUGUUAACCUUGAUGUUUUGUACAUAAUAGUGAAUGGUUUUUGGGGUGGAGUUGGGUAUACUACUUGUAUAAUAAGCCCAAAAAAUGAUAUUGUACUUGCGUUAAACUUCACCCAAAUGUCUUCAAGAAUUUCACAAUUCUGUACCACACAUUAUGCCAAGUUAAAGAGUGCUUUGUAGUUAUUACUCUGGUCCAAAUGGCAAAGCAGUUACCGUUCUUGCUAGUGAUGUAAAGUUUGAUCAUCAUUUACAUCUAUGGAUGGGGGUUUAGGGUCACUCCUAUUCGUGCAGGAGCUUUACUUGAGAUUUAUAUAUGUAUAUUAUUACUAAUGUUGAAGAUCAGCAAGAACAGCUGAAGGUUGAGGCAUCUGUGACCUAAUAUAUGGUUGAGGAGCAUUUGUGAAGAAUGUCAAGCGGCAGUUAGCCACCAAUGUUUG